This 456-nucleotide ribosomal RNA is filed under the name uncultured Gammaproteobacteria bacterium. RNAcentral's name for it is "bacterial SSU rRNA". It matches the Rfam family "Bacterial small subunit ribosomal RNA", at positions 9 to 463 of the family's 1533-position model. The record is from RNAcentral. Lineage: Bacteria; Pseudomonadati; Pseudomonadota; Gammaproteobacteria.
GAGUUUGAUCAUGGCUCAGAUUGAACGCUGGCGGCAGGCUUAACACAUGCAAGUCGAGCGGAAACGAUGGGAGCUUGCUCCCAGGCGUCGAGCGGCGGACGGGUGAGUAACGCGUAGGAAUCUACCCAGUAGUGGGGGAUAGCCCGGGGAAACUCGGAUUAAUACCGCAUACGCCCUACGGGGGAAAAGCCGGGAUCUUCGGACCGGUCGCUAUUGGAUGAGCCUGCGUUGGAUUAGCUAGUUGGUAGGGUAAAGGCCUACCAAGGCGACGAUCCAUAGCUGGUCUGAGAGGAUGAUCAGCCACACUGGAACUGAGACACGGUCCAGACUCCUACGGGAGGCAGCAGUGGGGAAUAUUGGACAAUGGGCGCAAGCCUGAUCCAGCCAUGCCGCGUGUGUGAAGAAGGCUCUAGGGUUGUAAAGCACUUUCAGUAGGGAGGAAGGCCAGGGAGUUAA